CAUGGACAAGUUCUUCGUCAACGUCAUCAACCCUUACCUCGCGGAGGUAAAGAGACACCCUCAAACACUUUGGGUGGAGGAUGGUAUCCUCCACAAAGAAGAUCUGAAGGGGCCUAUCAAGGAGGGGAACACCGAGGCCAGGAUAGAAGAGGUCGAGCAAGAAGUCUUCAAGUACAAGUUGAUGAUCGAACGUGGUGUCGAGGCCAACUUCGUUAUCAUCACCGAGCUGAAGAAGCAACAUGAGAAGGAUAUGAAGGAAGUGCGAUCAAUCAUAUCCGCACUGGAAACCAAAGUGUUCGAGCUUCAAGGGCACAUCUAUGACCUUCAAAACUAAAACUGUGAGUAUGAACUAAAGUUUUUGCGCAUGGGCUUAUCUGCCGAAAGUAGGAUCCUGGAGACUGGAGAAUCAUGUGUGGAGGGAGGACCUCUGCCAUGGAAGCGUUUCGCUAAGGAUUACCUGAGGAACAAGAACAAGGAUGAAGAGUGAAAUAUUCAUGGGUAAUGGCAUUCCCUUAGCUUGUUCCAAGCUUGGGGGAGUGCCCGGUAUCUUUAAUUUUUAUCCUUUAUCUUUUAUGGUAAAGUUUAGUGUCGUAUCAUGUCUAGGGAGGUUAUGUUAUGAAAUAGGUGUUUGCAUUGAGGUCUAUCACUCCUUUGUGGAGAGUCUUGUAUCCGUGAGUGUGCAGUUCUCUAUGAUAAAAUAUUAAUGAGAAAUUUAUUAGUUUCUUCGCUGCACCUAGUAUUCGCUUCAUGCAAUCGACCUUAUAUGUUGAUUCUUAUGGGAGUAUUGAUCUUACAUAUCAGGUAUGGCUUCGAAAACUUUAUUUAAUCUUGUCAAACAUAGCAUUGGUCAUAACAACAAGCAUGAGUUUUUUUCUACUAGCGACAUAGCCAAAACCUUUAUGUUCUUAUGCUUGAAGUGUUAUGCUGACAAGGAACACAACUUGAUGUUUCAUGCCAAUUCUUUAUGUUAAACCUUAUAUUGUUUUGCAUCCAAGUUAGCAUCAUUUGUCUGCUCUCAAAAUCCUUUGCUAGCCAACCCUUGUACUAAGCGGGAAUACUGCUUGUGCAUCCAUACCUUGAAACCUCAACCUUCCCAAGAGUCCACCAUACCUUCCCUUUAUGUGGUAUUUCACCGUCACUCCUAAAGUAUAUUACUCAUGUGCUAUCUUUAAACCUCCAAAUAUUACUCCCUAUUUUGUGCCUCUAUUUUAGCCCAUGAGGAAGUAGUAGAUAAUUCAUGAUCUUCUCAUACUUGACAAGUUUUAUCCUGGGUUUGCAUGUUUAAUCUGCGAACCCCUAAUACGAGGAGCGACUGGCAUGAGCGCGCCCAGCUCAUAAAAGAUAAUAACAACAAUCAAAACCUCCUUCAUGCUUUGUUGAUGAGAAAUCAGAAAACUUUGGUGGUGAUAAACAAAGGAGACUAAGGGGAUGUGAUCGUCCCCACUUUGGGAGUCGUUCCUCAAAACUUGUCCAGCAUGAGAAGUAUUGGGCUAUAUUCUAGCAUUCGUUGACAAAUUAUGCACCUCUCAAAAUCUUGUUUUACAAUCUUGUUAAUUUCAAAAUUUCUAAAAGCUCUAGCACAUGAGCUUUCCCUACUUCCCUCUGCGAAGGGCUAAUCUUUUAUUUUUAUGUUGAGUCAGUAAACCUACUUCCUUCUAUCCUAUAAAAGAGCGGGCACUUUAUGUUGACAAAGAUGCAUAAAUUUAUAUCGUUUCAUUGAGAAUUGCCAAAUCACAACUUUGUUGACACUAUCAUUAAGAUGAGUAAGUUGUUUGUUAAGCCUAGCUAAAGCAAACAUCUUCCUUUUUGUUAGCAUUUUCACUUCUUGACUAAUAUCAUGUUCUUUCAAAAAACUUCAAUUGAUCUCUUCAAAAUAUAAGAGCAAGAGCAAAAGUUAAAAUUUAUUAGUUGUUCUUUGACCAAGGACAUGUUUGCCAUGGUUUGAUGAGUUUUCUUAGCCCUACUUUUGAUUGUGAUUGAUACUACUCUUUCAUAUGAGCCUUAUGAGUUGAGGUUGAUGUUGAGGAUGGUUGAGUUUAGUAGAGAAAUUAUGAUGCUUCUUGUCAUUAUUCUUAUUUAUCGACACUUCACUCUCUAAACUUGUGGACAGGUUUACCAAGCUCAGUAUUCUCUUGGGGACAAGCGAGGUCUAAGCUUGGGGGAGUUGAUACGUCCAAAAUGCAUCACUAUUUUGUAUCAUAAUUUGUCUCUAUUCAUUGAUAUAUUUCACAUUAUCAUGAUGUACUUAUAAUGUUUUGGCUUAUUCUACAUAGUUUACAGCUUUCCGGUGCCGAAACAGCAGACGCCGGAUUCAGCGGAGAAAAUAGCACGAAGAGUUACCAUAUCAGAACAUCUCAAACUGCGCUGAAAAUUUGAGGGAAGGAGUUUCGAACUGAUCACGAAGACGGGCCGAACAAGGGCUGGAGGGGGGCCAUAGGGCACCCACGCGACCUGUUGGCGCGGGCCACCCCUAGGCCGCGCCCAAAGGCCGCCUAGGUGGUGGGUCCCUCCUCCGAUGCUCUCCUUUGGCCUAUAUGAUCCUCGUGACCUAAAGUUACGGGGACAUAAGUUUUUCCGGAGUUCCGACGCCGCUCUCGGCAGAAACCUACAGAGAAGAAAAGACCUUUCCGACGUGGAUUCCGCCGGGGACAAAUCCUCCCGGAGGGGGAGAUCGUCAUCACCAUCGUCACGAGCAUCAUCGAGAUCAUCAUCACCAUCACCCUCGACACCAGCACUAUCUCCAUCUUCACCCCAUCUUACUUUCCCAUUGCAAUCGGAGUUGUACCUUGCACUAUUCAUCCCCUCAACUCUACCGGUGUUGAUUACUCUUUUGUGGUGAAUGCUAUUGAGAUUUGUUGGAGAAUUAUUGUUAUGAAUAGAUUGUUUAUCAUACUUUCAUCACCUCUGAUCAUGAUCUCUUUUAUGUCUCGUGAGUAGUUCCUUUAGUUCUUGAGGGAAUGGGAGAAGUCUAGUUGCUAGUAGUCAUAUGAUGUUGAAGUAAUAUGUUUUAAUUGAUACUUAAGUUAUGGUGUUAUUCUUCUGGUGGUGUUAUGUGAACGUCGACUACAUAACACUUCGCCUUUUUAAGUACCUAGAGGGAUGCAUCAUGUAUAAAGAAUGCUUAUGUUGGGUUGCCGGAGUGACACUAACCUGAACGCCAGUUCGCAUACUUUUGCACGAGCGAGCAUUGGAUCCUAAAGCUUAUUGCUAUGGUUAGGCUUUGGCUUAACUUCUCUCUUGUAUCUGUGGAUGCUUGUAAGAGAGAUUAAUCAUAAGAGUGUACUUGUCGUAGCCUAGAUGGCGCACUAGUUAAGAUCCACCCACAUAACACUUAUCAAUACAAAACAUAGUACUAGACAAAAUAUGGCGAAAGCACUUGACUAUCUCUCCCGUGUGUCCUCAGGAACGCCUUAGUCUUUAUAAGCUUAGUCCCUCGGCUUAUCCUUUGUGUUCAAAAGGAUUGGGUCACUUGCUGCACCUCAGCACCAUUUAUUUUCCCUACAUUUAUUUCCUUGUUGCUUAUACAGAAAACCCAUAAAAAGUUACCUUUCAGUACUUGCAGUUAUUCCUUGCUCAAGAUCGCUUGUGAGUACCUUCUGCUCCUCGUUGGGUUUGACACUCCUACUUAUCUAAAAGUCUACGAUAGAUCCCCUAUACUUGUGGGUCAUCAUACACUCACUUGAUACAGAAUAUCCAAGCAAAAUAAAAAAUCUGGAUUACAAGACCAUGAAGGUCUACUGGUUCGGACAUAAGUUUGAGGCUCACGGCGGAAGCGACUCGAGGAAUCUCAAGUUCCCAUGGGACUCCAUUCCCAGAGGAACAACUGACCUAGAUAAAUUCCUAUCUCCCAAGGCUGCUAUCCUUGACUCCUAGGUUCCAGGGUUGACGGCAUCGUGCUCCUCUCCGAGCGCAAUCUGGCCAAGACAAUAGCCAAGGACAAGCCAGUGAGUACUUUGAAUGUACUCGCAAACAUCAAGAAGACAGAUAAGUUAAAGCAGGUGAGAUGCAUGCAUAAUUCCAUUAAUAACUAUAUCAUGCCAUAAGAAUUAAUUCACGCAUGCUUUCGUGCAGAUAAACCAUUUCCACCAAUGUUGUAUAAGCAAGCAAGGGAUGGUACAGUAAAUUAUAAGUUUGUCGGUCGGGCGUGUGAGGCGACACCUGAGAAGGACAAGCAAUUAUAAACCACAGUCGGUCCUCUUGGCGACACCGCAUAGAGGGACUUGUAAAAGGAAAAAUUACUAUACAUGCCACAGUCGGGCGUCUGAACGACACCACAUAAAGGGCUUAUAUGCAAGUAGUAAUAGUUGCCACGACCGGGAGUCUAAGCAACACCACAGAAAGUGUUGGGGAACGUCGCAUGGGAAACAAAAAAAUUCCUACGCGCACGAAGACCUAUCAUGGUGAUGUCCAUCGACGAGAGGGGAUUUCUGAUCUACGUACCCUUGUAGAUCGCAUAGCAGAAGCGUUAGUGAACGCGGUCGAUGUAGUGGAACUUCCUCACAUCCCUCGAUCCGCCCCGCGAACCGUCCCACGAACCGUCCCGCGAUCCGUCCCACGAUCCGCUCCGAUCUAAUGCCGAACGGACGGCACCUCCGCGUUCAGCACACAUACAGCUCGACGAUGAUCUCGGCCUUCUUGAUCCAGCAAGAGAGACGGAGAGGUAGAUGAGUUCUCCGACAGCGUGACGGCGCUCCAGAGGUUGGUGGUGAUCUAAUCUCAGCAGGGCUCCGCCCGAGCUCCGCAGAAACGCGAUCUAGAGGAAAAACCGUGGAGGUAUGUGGUCGGGCUGCCGUGGCAAAAGUUGUCUCAAAUCAGCCCUAAUACCUCAUUAUAUAUAGGAGGGAGGGGGAGGGAAGAGGCAGCCUCAAACCCUCAAGGUUUGGCCGAAAUUGGAGGUGGAGGAGUCCUACUCCAAUCCUACUUGGAGUAGGAUUCCACCUUCCCACUUGGAAACUCUUUCCACCUUGUGUUUUUUCCUUCUCAAACCUUAUGGGCCUUAGUGGGAACUUAUUCCAGCCCACUAGGGGCUGGUUUAUCUCUUCCCAUAGCCCAUGAAACCCCUUGGGGCGUGACACCCCUCCCGAUGGUCCCCGGCACCCCUCCCGGCACUCCCGGUACACUACCAAUGAGCCCGACCCUUUUCUGGUGACCAAAACAGGACUUCCUAUAUAUCAAUCUUUACCUCCGGACCAUUCCGGAGCUCCUCGUGACGUCCUGGAUCUCAUCCGGCACUCCGAACAAUAUUCCGUAACCAACCAUAUAACUCAAAUACGCAUAAAACAACGUCGAACCUUAAGUGUGCAGACCCUGCGGGUUCGAGAACUAUGUAGACAUCACCCGAGGGACUCCUCGGUCAAUAUCCAAUAGCGGGACCUGGAUGCCCAUAUUGGAUCCUACAUAUUCUUCCAAGAUCUUAUCGCUUGAACCUCAGUGACAAGGAUUCCUAUAAUCCCGUAUGUCAUUCCCUUUGUCCUUCGGUAUGUUACUUGCCCGAGAUUCGAUCGUCAGUAUCCGCAUACCUAUUUCAAUCUCGUUUACCAGCAAGUCUCUUUACUCGUUCCGUAAUACAAGAUCCCGCAACUUACACUAAGUCACAUUGCUUGCAAGGCUUGUGUGUGAUGUUGUAUUACCGAGUGGGCCCCGAGAUACCUCUCCGUCACACGGAGUGACAAAUCCCAGUCUCGAUCCAUACUAACUCAACGAACACCUUCGGAGAUACCUGUAGAGCAUCUUUAUAGUCACCCAGUUACGUUGCGACGUUUGAUACACACAAAGCAUUCCUCCGGUGUCAGUGAGUUAUAUGAUCUCAUGGUCAUAGGAACAAAUACUUGACACGUAGAAAACAGUAGCAACAAAAUGACACGAUCAACAUGCUACGUCUAUUAGUUUGGGUCUAGUCCAUCACAUGAUUCUCCUAAUGAUGUGAUCCCGUUAUCAAGUGACAACACUUGCCUAUGGUCAGGAAACCUUGACCAUCUUUGAUCAACGAGCUAGUCAACUAGAGGCCUACUAGGGACAGUGUUUUGUCUAUGUAUCCACACAUGCACUGUGUUUCCAAUCAAUACAAUUAUAGCAUGGAUAAUAAACGAUUAUCAUGAACAAAGAAAUAUAAUAACAACUAAUUUAGUAUUGCCUCUAGGGAAUAUUUCCAACAGUCUCCCACUUGCACUAGAGUCAAUAAUCUAGUUCACAUCACCAUGUGAUUCCAACGAAUCCAACACCCAUAUAGUUAUGGGGUCUGAUCACGUCUUGCUCGUGAGAGAGGUUUUAGUCAACGGUUUUGAAACUUUCAGAUCUGUGUGUUCUUUACAAAUCUUUAUGUCAUCUUAUAGAUGCUGCUACUAUGUGCUAUUCGGAAAUACUCCAAAUAUCUACUCUACUAUACGAAUCCGUUUCACUACUCAUAGUUAUUCGGAUUAGUGUCAAAGCUUGCAUCGACGUAACCUUUUACGACGAAGUUUUUAACCACCUCCAUAAUCGAGAAAAAUUCCUUAGUCCAUCAGUUACUAAGGAUAAAUUUUGACCGCUGCUAGUGAUUCAAUCAUGGAUCACUCUCUGUACCUCUCAACAGACUUUGAGUCAAGGCACACAUCAGGUGCGGUACCCAGCAUGGCGUACUUCAGAUUCUACGGCCAAGGCAUAGAAGACGACCUUCGUCUAUUCUCUUUAUUCAGCCGGGGUCAGGUUUUGAGUCUAACUCUAAUUCACACCUCACAACGCAACCAAGAACUCCUUCUUUGCUGAUCUAUUUUGAACUCCUUCAAAAACUUGUCAAGGCAUGCAUCUUGUUGAAACUUCUAUUAAGCGCUUUUCAUCUAUCUCCAUAGAUCUUUGAUGCUCAACGUUCAAGUAGCGCAAUCCAGGUAUUCCUUUAAAAACUCCUUUCAAACAACCUUGUAUGCUUUACAGAAAUUCUACAUUACUUCUAAUCCAUAAUAUGUCAACCACAUAUACUUAUCAGAAAUUCUAUAGUGCUCCCACUCACUUGUUUGGAAAUACAAGUUUCUCAUAAACCUUGUACAAACCCAAAAUCUUUGAUCAUCUCAUCAAAGUGUAUAUUCCAACUCCGAGAUGCUUGCACCAGUCCAUUGAAGGAUCGCUGGAGCUUGCAUACUUGCUAGUAUCUUUAGGAUCGACAAAACCUCGUGGUUGUAUCACAUACAAUGUUUGCGCAAGGAAACCGUCGAGGAAACAAUGUUUUGACAUCCUAUGUGCAAUAUUUCAUAAAUAAUGCAGCAACUACUAACAUAAUUCUAACAGACUUUUAGCAUCGCUACGAGUGAGAAAGUCUCAUCAUAGUCAACUGUUUGAUCUUGUCGGAAACAUCUUUGCAACAAGUCGAGCUUUUCUUAAUAGUGACUUAUCACCAUCAUCGUCUGUCUUCCUUUUAAAGAUCCAUCUUUACUCAAUAGUCUUAUGACCAUCAAGUAGUUCUUCCAAAGUCUACACUUUGUUUUCAUACAUGGAUCCUCUCUUGGAUUUCAUGGCUUCCAGCCAUUUUUCGGAAUCCGGGCCCACCAUUGCUUUCUCCAUAACUCGUAGGUUCACUGUUGCUCAACAACAUGACCUCCAAGACAGGGUUACCGUACCACUCUGCAGUAGUACGCGACCUUGUCAACCUACGAGGCUUGUAGUAACUUGAUCCGAUGCUCGAUGAUCACCCUCAUCAGCUUUCACUUCAAUUGGUGUAGGCGCCACAGGAACAACUUCCUGCGCCCUGCUACACACUGGUUGAAGUGAUGGUUCAAUAACCUCAUCAAGUUCUACCACCCUCCCACUCAAUUCUUUCGAGAGAAACCUUUCCUCGAGAAAGGAUCCGUUUCUAGAAACAAACACUUUGCUUUUGGAUCUGAGAUAGGAGAUGUACCCAACUGUUUUGGAUAUCCUAUGAAGAUGCAUUUAUCCGCUUUGGGUUCGAGCUUAUCAGACUGAAACUUUUUCACAUAAGUGUCGAAGCCCCAAACUUUCAAGAAACGACAGUUUAGAUUUGUCUAAACCUUAGUCUAUAGUGUGUCAUCUCAACGGAAAUACACGGUGCCCUAUUUAAAGUGAAUGCGGUUGUCUCUAAUGCAUAACCCAUAAACGAUAGUGGUAAUUCAAUAAGAGACAUCAUAGCAUGCACCAUACCAAAUAGUGCGUGGCUAUGACGUUCAGGCACAUCAUCACACUAUGAUGUUCCACGUGGCAUGAACUGCGAAACAAUUUCCACAUUGUCUUAACUGCGUACCAAAACUCGUAACUUAGAUAUUCAUUUCUAUGAUCAUAUCAUAGACAGUUUAUCCUCUUGUUACGACGAACUUCACUCCGAAACAGAAUUGAACUUUUCAAUAUUUCAGACUUGUGAUUCAUUAAGUAAAUACUCUUGUAUCUACUUAAAUCGUCAUUGAAGUAAGAACAUAAUGAUAUCCACUGCCUGCCUCAGCACCCAUUGGACUGCAUACAUCAAAAUGUAUCACUUCCAACAAGUUACUAUCUUGUUUCAUCUCAAUGAAAACAAGGCCUUGCUCAUGUGGUAUGAUCUGCAUGUCACUAAUGAUUCAAAAUGAAGUGAGUAUAAAGAUCCAUCAGCAUGGAGCCUCUUCAUGCAAUUUAUACCAACAUGACUCAAGCGGCAGUUCCACAAGUAAGUGGUACUAUCAUCAUUACCACGUAUCUUUUGGCACCAAUAUCAUGGACAUGUGUAACACUAUGAUCGAGAUUCAAUAAACCAUUGAAGGUGAUUAUUCAAGCAAAUAGAGUAACCAUUAUUAUCUUUAAAUGAAUAAUCGUAUUGCAAUAAACAUGAUCCAAUCAUGUUCAUGCUUAAUGCAAGCACCAAAUAACAAUUAUUUAGGUUUAACACCAAUCCCGAUGGUAGAGGGAGCGUGCGACGUUUGAUCAUAUCAACCUUGGAAACACUUCCAACACGUAUCGUCACCUCGCCUUUAGCUAGUCCCCGUUUAUGCCGUAGCUUUCAUUUCGUGUAACUAAUCACUUAGCAACCGAACCAAUAUCCAAUAACCUCGUGCUACUAGGAGUACUAGUAAAGUACACAUCAACAUCAUGUAUAUCAAAUAUACUUCUUUCGACUUUUGCCAGCCUUCUUUAUCUACCAUGUAUCUAGGGUUGCUCCGUCUCAGUGACCGUUCCCCUCACAAUAGAAGCACUUUGUCCCGGGCUUGGGUUUAAUCUGGGGUCUCUUCAUUAGUGCAGCAACUGCUUUGCCGUUUCACGAAGUAUCCCUUCUAGCCCUUGCCUUUCUCGAAACUUAGUGGUUUUACUAACCAUCAACUAUUGAUGAUCCUUCUUGAUUUCUACUUUCGCAGUGUCAAACAUCGCGAAUCGCUCAAGGAUCAUUGUAUCUAUCCUUGAUAUGUUAUAGUUCAUCGUGAAGCUCUCACAGCUUGGGUAGUGACUUUGGAGAACCAUCACUAUCUUAUCUGGAAGAUCAACUCCCACUUGAUUCAAGCGAUUGUCGUACUCAGAUAAUCCGAGCACACGCUCAACGAUUGAGCUUUUCUCCUUUACUUCGUGGACAAAGAAUCUUGUCGGAGGUCUCAUACCUCUUAACAAGGGCACAAGCAUGAAAUCACAAUUUCAUCUCUUUAGAACAUCUCUUAUGUUCCGUGAUGUUUCAAAACGUCUUCGGCGCCUUGCUUCUAAGCCAUUAAGUAUUUUGUAAUGAACUAUCGUGUAGUCAUAAGAAACGUGUAUGUCGGAUGUUCACAACAUCUAUAGACGACGCUCGAGGUGCAGCAGACCGAGUGGUGCAUUAAGGACAUAAGCCUUCUGCGCAGCAACGAGGACAAUCCUCGGUUUUACAGACUUAGUCUGCAAAGUUUGCUACUAUCAACUUUCAACUAAAUUUUCUCUAGGAACAUAUAAAAAUAGUAGAGCUAUAGCGCAAGCUACAUCAUAAUUCGCAAAGACCAUUAGACUAUGUUCAUGACAAUUAGUUCAAUUAAUCAUAUUACUUAAGAACUCCCACUCAAAAAGUACAUCUCUCUAGUCAUUUGAGUGGUACAUGAUCCAAAUCCACUAUCUCAAGUCCGAUCAUCACGUGAGUCGAGAAUAGUUUCAGUGGUAAGCAUCUCUAUGCUAAUCAUAUCAACUAUACGAUUCAUGCUCGGCCUUUCGGUCUCAUGUGUUCCGAGGCCAUGUCUGCACAUGCUAGGCUCGUCAAGCUUAACUCGAGUGUUCCGCGUGUGCAACUGUUUUGCACCCGUUGUAUGUGAACGUUGAGUCUAUCACACCCGAUCAUCACGUGGUGUCUCGAAACGAAGAACUGUCGCAACGGUGCACAAUCGGGGAGAACACAAUUUCGUCUUGAAAUUUUAGUGAGAGAUCACCUCAUAAUGCUACCGUCGUUCUAAGCAAGAUAAGGUGCAUAAAGGAUUAACAUCACAUGCAACUCAUAAGUGACAUGAUAUGGCCAUCAUCAUGCGCUUCUUGAUCUCCAUCACCAAAGCACCGGCAUGAUCUUCUUGUCACCGGCGUCACACCAUGAUCUCCAUCAUCAUGAUCUCCAUCAAUGUGUCGCCAUCGGGGUUGUCGUGCUACUCAUGCUAUUACUACUAAAGCUACGUCCUAGCAAUAUAGUAAACGCGCCUGCAAGCACAAACGUUAGUUUAAAGACAACCCUAUGGCUCCUGCCGGUUGCCGUACCAUCGACGUGCAAGUCGAUAUUAACUAUUACAACAUGAUCAUCUCAUACAUCCAAUAUAUCACAUCACAUCGGUGGCCAUAUCACAUCACAAGCAUACCCUACAAAAACAAGUUAGACGUCCUCUAAUUGUUGUUGCAUCUUUUACGUGGUGACCAUGGGUAUCUAGUAGGAUCACAUCUUACUUAUGCAAACACCACAACGGAGAUAUAUGAAUUGCUAUUUAUCCUCAUCCAAGGACCUCCUCGGUCAAAUCCGAUUCAACUAAAGUUGGAGAAACCGACACUCGCCGGUCAUCUUUGAGCAACGGAGUUACUCGUAGCGAUGAAACCAGUCUCUCGUAAGCGUACGAGUAAUGUCGGUCCGAGCCGCUCCAAUCCAACAAUACCGCGGAAUCAAGAAAGGACUAAGGAGGGCAGCAAAACGCACAUCACCGCCCACAAAAAAUUUUGUGUUCUACUCGAGAAGACAUCUACGCAUGAACCUAGCUCAUGAUGCCACUGUUGGGGAACGUCGCAUGGGAAACAAAAAAUUUCCUACGCGCACGAAGACAUGUCAUGGUGAUGUCCAUCUACAAGAAGGGAUUUCCGAUCUACGUACCCUUGUAGUUCGCACAGCAGAAGCGUUAGUGAAUGCGGUUGAUGUAGUGGAACUUCCUCAUGUCCCUCGAUCCGCCCCGCGAACCGUCCCACGAACCGUCCCGCGAUCCGUCCCACGAUCCGCUCCGAUCUAGUGCCGAACGGACGGCACCUCCGCGUUCAGCACACGUACAGCUCGACGAUGAUCUCGGCCUUCUUGAUCCAGCAAGAGAUACGGAGAGGUAGAUGAGUUCUCCGGCAGCGUGACGGCGCUCCGGAGGUUGGUGGUGAUCUAAUCUCAGCAGGGCUCCGCCUGAGCUCCGCAGAAACGCGAUCUAGAGGAAAAACCAUGGAGGUAUGUGGUCGGGCUGCCGUGGCAAAAGUUGCCUCAAAUCAGCCCUAAUACCUCAGUAUAUAUAGGAGGCAGGGGGAGGGAAGAGGCAGCCUCAAACCCUCAAGGUUUGGCCGAAAUUGGAGGUGCAGGAGUCCUACUCCAAUCCUACUUGGAGUAGGAUUCCACCUUCCCACUUGGAAACUCUUUCCACCUUGUGUUUUUUCCUUCUCAAACCUUAUGGGCCUUAGUGGGAACUUAUUCCAGCCCACUAGGGGCUGGUUUAUCUCUUCCCAUAGCCCAUGAAACCCCUUGGGGCGUGACACCCCUCCCGAUGGUCCCCGGCACCCCUCCCGGCACUCCCGGUACACUACCAAUGAGCCCGACACUUUUCUGGUGACCAAAACAGGACUUCCUAUAUAUCAAUCUUUACCUCCGGNAUUCAUGCUCGGCCUUUCGGUCUCAUGUGUUCCGAGGCCAUGUCUGCACAUGCUAGGCUCGUCAAGCUUAACUCGAGUGUUCCGCGUGUGCAACUGUUUUGCACCCGUUGUAUGUGAACGUUGAGUCUAUCACACCCGAUCAUCACGUGGUGUCUCGAAACGAUGAACUGUUGCAACGGUGCACACUCGGGGAGAACACAAUUUCGUCUUGAAAUUUUAGUGAGAGAUCACCUCAUAAUGCUACCGUCGUUCUAAGCAAGAUAAGGUGCAUAAAGGAUUAACAUCACAUGCAACUCAUAAGUGACAUGAUAUGGCCAUCAUCAUGCGCUUCUUGAUCUCCAUCACCAAAGCACCGGCAUGAUCUUCUUGUCACCGGCGUCACACCAUGAUCUCCAUCAUCAUGAUCUCCAUCAAUGUGUCGCCAUCGGGGUUGUCGUGCUACUCAUGCUAUUACUACUAAAGCUACGUCCUAGCAAUAUAGUAAACGCGCCUGCAAGCACAAACGUUAGUUUAAAGACAACCCUAUGGCUCCUGCCGGUUGCCGUACCAUCGACGUGCAAGUCGAUAUUAACUAUUACAACAUGAUCAUCUCAUACAUCCAAUAUAUCACAUCACAUCGGUGGCCAUAUCACAUCACAAGCAUACCCUACAAAAACAAGUUAGACGUCCUCUAAUUGUUGUUGCAUCUUUUACGUGGUGACCAUGGGUAUCUAGUAGGAUCACAUCUUACUUAUGCAAACACCACAACGGAGAUAUAUGAAUUGCUAUUUAUCCUCAUCCAAGGACCUCCUCGGUCAAAUCCGAUUCAACUAAAGUUGGAGAAACCGACACUCGCCGGUCAUCUUUGAGCAACGGAGUUACUCGUAGCGAUGAAACCAGUCUCUCGUAAGCGUACGAGUAAUGUCGGUCCGAGCCGCUCCAAUCCAACAAUACCGCGGAAUCAAGAAAGGACUAAGGAGGGCAGCAAAACGCACAUCACCGCCCACAAAAAAUUUUGUGUUCUACUCGAGAAGACAUCUACGCAUGAACCUAGCUCAUGAUGCCACUGUUGGGGAACGUCGCAUGGGAAACAAAAAAUUUCCUACGCGCACGAAGACAUGUCAUGGUGAUGUCCAUCUACAAGAAGGGAUUUCCGAUCUACGUACCCUUGUAGUUCGCACAGCAGAAGCGUUAGUGAAUGCGGUUGAUGUAGUGGAACUUCCUCAUGUCCCUCGAUCCGCCCCGCGAACCGUCCCACGAACCGUCCCGCGAUCCGUCCCACGAUCCGCUCCGAUCUAGUGCCGAACGGACGGCACCUCCGCGUUCAGCACACGUACAGCUCGACGAUGAUCUCGGCCUUCUUGAUCCAGCAAGAGAUACGGAGAGGUAGAUGAGUUCUCCGGCAGCGUGACGGCGCUCCGGAGGUUGGUGGUGAUCUAAUCUCAGCAGGGCUCCGCCUGAGCUCCGCAGAAACGCGAUCUAGAGGAAAAACCAUGGAGGUAUGUGGUCGGGCUGCCGUGGCAAAAGUUGCCUCAAAUCAGCCCUAAUACCUCAGUAUAUAUAGGAGGCAGGGGGAGGGAAGAGGCAGCCUCAAACCCUCAAGGUUUGGCCGAAAUUGGAGGUGCAGGAGUCCUACUCCAAUCCUACUUGGAGUAGGAUUCCACCUUCCCACUUGGAAACUCUUUCCACCUUGUGUUUUUUCCUUCUCAAACCUUAUGGGCCUUAGUGGGAACUUAUUCCAGCCCACUAGGGGCUGGUUUAUCUCUUCCCAUAGCCCAUGAAACCCCUUGGGGCGUGACACCCCUCCCGAUGGUCCCCGGCACCCCUCCCGGCACUCCCGGUACACUACCAAUGAGCCCGACACUUUUCUGGUGACCAAAACAGGACUUCCUAUAUAUCAAUCUUUACCUCCGGACCAUUCCGGAGCUCCUCGUGACGUCCUGGAUCUCAUCCGGGACUCCGAACAACAUUCGGUAACCAACCAUAUAACUCAAAUACGCAUAAAACAACGUUGAACCUUAAGUGUGCAGACCCUGCGGGUUCGAGAACUAUGUAGACAUGACCCGAGUGACUCCUCGGUCAAUUUCCAAUAGCAGGACCUGGAUGCCCAUAUUGGAUCCUACAUAUUCUCCAAAGAUCUUAUCGGUUGAACCUCAGUAUCAAGGAUUCAUAUAAUCCCGGAUGUCAUUCCCUUUGUCCUUCGGUAUGUUACUUGCCCGAGAUUCGAUCGUCGGUAUCCGCAUACCUAUUUCAAUCUCGUUUACUAGCAAGUCUCUUUACUCGUUCCGUAAUACGAGAUCCCGCAACUUACACUAAGUCACAUUGCUUGCAAGGCUUGUAUGUGAUGUUGUAUUACCGAGUGGGCCCCGAGAUACCUCUCCGUCACACGGAGUGACAAAUCUCAUUCUCGAUCCUACUAACUCAACGAACACCUUCGGAGAUACCUGUAGAGCAUCUUUAUAGUCACCCAGUUACGUUGCGACGUUUGAUACACAUAAAGCAUUCCUCCGGUGUCAGUGAGUUAUAUGAUCUCAUGGUCAUAGGAACAAAUACUUGACACGUAGAAAACAGUAGCAACAAAAUGACAUGAUCAACAUGCUACGUCUAUUAGUUUGGGUCUAGUCCAUCACAUGAUUCUGCUAAUGAUGUGAUCCCGUUAUCAAGUGACAACACUUGCCUAUGGUCAGGAAACCUUGACCAUCUUUGAUCAACGAGCUAGUCAACUAGAGGCCUACUAGGGACAGUGUUUUGUCUAUGUAUCCACACAUGCACUGUGUUUCCAAUCAAUACAAUUAUAGCAUGGAUAAUAAACGAUUAUCAUGAACAAAGAAAUAUAAUAACAACUAAUUUAUUAUUGCCUCUAGGGCAUAUUUCCAAUAGAAAGGGCUUAUAUGAAAGAAAUAACAGUUGCCACAGUCGGGCAUCUAAGUAACACCACAGAAAGGGCUUAUAUUAAUAAUAAACAUGUUGUAGUGGGGCGUCUAAGCGACACCACAUAAAGGGCUUAUAUGAGACAGUAAUAAAUAUUGAAUAUCCAGGAGGUAGAACCGUCCCAUGGAUAUCCAACAGUCAUAAUCAUAGGGGUUAGUCCAUAGUAAAAAUAAUAGUAUGAUCAUCCACCACAUUUCAUGAUUAGUCUCACGAUUUCGUUAACUUCCUACGAAGACCGACACUCAGGCCUACACUUGACUAGCUAACCAGUCGUCCUUGACCGUGGACACGGCUACUCGAAUAGUUUUGACUCUACAGAGAGUGUACUCUUUACCCACAGCCCACGGGUUUCAAUAGUCACUCGGACAAAUCCCACGUACGGUAUUUCAGAAGUAUACUCUCAGAACCGGUACACAUCCAUGUUUCCCCCAUGAAGACCGGCCUCACCUGGGCUACGCUGCUAGGGAAAAACCAUAAGAUGGGGAGGCUCCAACCUCGACUAGCAUGGGAUCAAAUUUAUACUGCAUGCUACAAGGUAAGGGCCAUUCCCUCUCGGUCCCAGACCAGAAACACCCAUGCCCCUUGACCGGAUGACUGGAUUUAGUCGAGGUCCAUGGAUACCUUCAUCCCGGCCUCUCUACUUGGUGUGUACUUGGUAAUAGGUUUACGACCUACUAGACCAUAUUACCUCUCGGGAAGACGUGUGGCAGCACGAAAGGUAAGGUGACAGACAAACAAUACUCGAUCUACGGUCGACUUAGGAGGUUUAAGAUUUCCUGCAAGGGUUAGUACCACACAAUCUUGCUGAAAGAAUUACCUCAGUGUUACUACCAUCACAUCCCGACAUGCCUUCACCGACCACUCUUGUCCCACGAGAUGUUAGUCCAUGGUCACACAAUACCCAUGACAAACCUCCCUCUGAGAUUGUUCAGACCAGCAUGGCAUACGAGUCAUGAGGUAGUACUCACUUACCAUAUGCAUCAUAUAAUAAUAUAUAUAUAUAUNNNNNNNNNNNNNNNNNNNNNNNNNNNNNNNNNNNNNNNNNNNNNNNNNNNNNNNNNNNNNNNNNNNNNNNNNNNNNNNNNNNNNNNNNNNNNNNNNNNNNNNNNNNNNNNNNNNNNNNNNNNNNNNNNNNNNNNNNNNNNNNNNNNNNNNNNNNNNNNNNGUAUAUAUAUCUCACGCACUCGUGCAAUGAUGUGAUUUCAUGUGCGGUUGUCAUCAACAUAACCAAAACACGCAUAUAAUGUACCACAACAAACAUCACACACUUAAUGCAAAUCAGCUUCAAGAUGCUUGCCUUUGGAGUUUGAGGAGGGUGAUGUGUACCCCAAAAUCUUGAAGUAAGUCUGCUCUCUCGAAAAUCCUAUUUUGAGAAUAUUUGAAUUACCAUGAAAAUUCAGAACAGCACAUAAAUGUUGUUUGAAUAUUUUUCAAAUAAAUCUUAAAAUAAACUAGAUGAAAUUUGAGAGAGCUAGGAAAAUGAAUCAGUCCAUUAGGAGUUGUAGUUAAAAAGUGAUGAGCGGUCAAACUUUUGGUCAAACUCUAUUUUUUAAGAAAAGUAAAAUAAAACGUUUCGCAAAAAGGGCGCUAACAAAAUAAGGGAGACGUACUUACGCAAAUGCGCUUCCUCAGCAGAAAGACGCAGGGGUGGGGCUACGCCACUCGGGCAACGGUUGGCUAACCGACAGGUGGGGCCACCCUUUCGGAUUCGUCUCCCUCCUCAGCGCGCGCGACGACAGAGAGGUGGGGUGGAUUCUGGGCGUCGAUUGUUGGCAACUCAUGGCACUCCACGAUGCGCUUCGGCUAUGCACAUCCUCGGGGGGAGGUGAUGCAUCCAUUUUUGGAGGCUAGGGUCACGGUGGAGCUCGAGGGCAAGUACCCCUUCCUCCAUGGCGGAGGAAAGCUUGGCAGAACUGAAGUUGCGCGCACCGCGGCUUCCGACACCGUUGGGAGGGGGAAGGGUUCUAGGGUCAUUGCGGAGCUAGUGGCGAAGGAAAGCUGCACUGAUCGUUGCUGGCUUGCUCGAAUCUCAACGGAGGACAACGGGUGGUGGAAGCUGUCGGCGGCAGGGAAGGAGGCGGCCCCGGUUGAAAUUUUGGCGACGGGAGGCUUCCUAUGGUUGGGUAGGGAAAGUUUUGGGUGCUAAAAGAGCUCGGGGUUCCCUCUUAUAGCAGAUUUAGGUUGGUUUUGCGGCAGCGAUGGAUAGCGACGCCGGCAACAGGUUCUGGUGAUGGCUCAGGCACACAUGGGCGACAGCAGGGUGCAGCAGCAGGCUCAACAGCGGGAGGGUGAUGCAGGGGAGGGACCAAUGGGGCAGCUGGCGCUCGGGGAGCGUUUGGGCGAUGCUCGUUNNNNNNNNNNNGCUUUGCUGGGGCAGUAGUGUUUCGGGCGCGGCAGGGGUGCAGCAGAGCGCAACACACAGGGGGAAACCUGUCGGGGUGGACGCGGCUCUGCGGCUGUCCAGGAGCACGAGCAGGUGGACGCGGCAGCUCGGGCGCGCACAUGCAAAAUCUGCGCUCCGGGCGUGCUCUGGGUACGCACCCAGGAUGCUCAACAGAAAUCCUGGCAUGGCUACAGGGUUCAGGUGCUCACCAAAAUUACCAUAGUGGGUUUGAUGGUCAAGACAAACAUCCUAGACAUCCUGGUUGGGCCAGUUGAACAACUCUAUAACGCACACAAAAAUCCAUGCCAAAAGAGUACAUGAACUCAAGGUGUUCGACCAAAUGUCAGGGGCACCUAGGAAGCUCCUCUCGGCACCAAAAUUACGAGAUCAUGGUCUCCUUAGGUGUUAGUUAUGAUGGUCAAGUUAGUUUGGCAAAAUGCAAAACUUGCUAAUGCAAUUGUUUGAGAAAAUCAUUUCGGGUCACAAAGUUGAAGCUAAUAUUACAUGCAUUUAAAAUCCUACAAUGGGGCUCAACUAAUGGACUUAAGGUUUUGGUAGGGUGUUAUACAAGCAUGAAAAAUCUCAAGGCAAAUAGAGCAAGGAAAAACAUGGUUGUAGUACAAAGUACCAAACUGGACCAGAACAAAAAAGUGGUUGCUUUGCUAAAAAAAUCAAAGCACAUAGUUGCAUUUUUGCAUAAAAAUGAAUAUCAUGCAUCACUUGACAUCCCCAAAUUUGUAUAGGAUUUUUGAAAGGUUAUAUCUAGGGGUUGUAGUACAAACACCAAUUUGGGCCAAAAUAGAAAAGGAGUUAAUGUGCUCAAAUUUUUCAAAACACAUGGUUAGGUUUUUACAGAAGUUUGAUCUAGGAACAUCACAUGUCACCUACAAUGUUUUGUAGAAUUUUCAGAAAAAGUUAUCCAAAGGUUGUAGUGCAAAAUAGGUCCUUAACGGAAUUAAAAGUCAAUUUUGAAUAAGAGAAACUUUGUCAAAGUUAUUUAUGAAAAGGGAUCUCCAAUGAAUUUGUGAGAAGAAAAGAAAUAUUUUGAUGCAAGCACUCAAGUUCCAACAUGAUUUUCAAAAACAUUUACUUGGGGAAGAACUUUAUAAUUAGGGAAAAGGAGUGGUUCAAAAAUCAAUUGAAAACCCGGAAAUUCAGAUUUUUAACAAACAUGGUCAAAUUAAAAAGAAUAUCCCCAUUUUAUUAAAUAAAGAAUUUAAAAUGGUCUCAAGUAAGGUCUCAAGCACUAAAUGAUAUUUUAAAAUGCCACUUGAAAAGGAAAGUUUUUUUUUGAAAAGAGGCUUUGAAAAGAGUCACGAAGCAAAUUAUUUCUCAAAACAUUUAUUCUAAGCAAUAUUUUAAUUUACAAAAAUAUGAUUAAAUUUUUGGGGUGUGACAGUCAUCCCUCAACAUGCAACAAAAAAUCUCACCGAAGUUCCUAUUAGUGGAGAACAUAAUAAGAAGUUGUUGUAUGCAGCAAACCACCUCAAAGUCAUUCUUUUCGAUCAAUCUUUUGGGAUAUUCCUAUAAGGGUCACAAACAGCCCUAGAGUUCGUACUAGAAUAACACCUAUGGUACAUCUCAAUCAACCAUAAUGUCACCUAGAUACUCCAAUGCCACCUCAAGUAUCCAUGGAUUAAUUAUUCGACAUGCAUCAAACAGUUUCAGAUUCUUCAUAUUCAAUCCAACACAAAGAACUUCAAAGAGUGCCCCAAGAUUUCUAUCAAAGAAGGUAGGAUGAAAACGUGCAACCCACCCUUAUGCAUAGAUCCCCACGGUCACGGAAUCCGCAAGUUAAUGCCAUAACAUAUAUCAACUGAACCAAUAGAAUAUCCCAUUGUCAUUACGAGUUUCCGCAUGCCAAACAUAUAUCAAGUGCUCGCAAACCCAAAGUAUUUAAUCCAACAUAAGAAAAUCUCAAAGGGAAAAUUCAGUCCAUGAAAUUCCGGACUUCAACUUUCCCAUAAGGGAAACACCCGGCGAAGAUGUCUUCCCGCACAUCGGCAUGGGAAAUCUAAAGGACCUUGCUCCCAUAAUGGGAAAUUUGGUAGAGCAAGUGCUACCGCGAGAUGCGCUCCAUGAUGAAACGGACAUAAACUAUAUUUAUACGGGGGAGUACCUGAACCGAGCAAUGGUGAUUGUCGACAUAAACUUUGCUACGAAAAUUGCCUACAUCAUAGAUCUUGACCCUCAUUCUAACACGCUCGUCGGUUGCAAGAAAAGGUCAGAUUGGAAAGAUUGACAGGAGGCAAUUACUGCUGAUUAUUAUCUCUCAACAAAAGAAAGGUGUUCGUACAAGUUUUUCAAACUCCUCCCCACAUAUACCCUAUUGGUCGUAGGUGGGUUUUUGUUCGAAAGAGAGAUGAAAAUAAUAAGGUAGUAUAGUACAAAGCAAGGUUCGUCGCUCAAGGGUCCACUCAACGAUCCAGUGUCGGCUGUGAGGAUACUUAUUUCCCGGUCAUGGAUGGAGUUACCUUUAGAUGCUUGAUCUCACUAGCAGUAAACAUGGGCUUGAAAAUUAAAUUAAUGGAUGUUACCUGUAAGGAAGAGGGGGAGGAAACUCUGGGACUAGAGGUUCCUUACCUGAGUGCAGUUGGAGCACUCAUGUACCUUGCAAAUUGUACAUGGUCAGACAUUGCUUGCAUCGUGAGUUUGCUUGCUAGUACAACUCUAAACCUACCAAGAGACAUUGGAAAGGUGUCAAGGACGUCUUCCGUUACGUGCAAGGGACCAAAGAUCUUGGCCUAUUUUAUAAAAGGAAUUAAGACCUAUCUCUUAUAGGCUAUGCCGAUGUUGGGUAUCUGUCGGACCCGCAUGAGUGCAAAUCACAGACUGAAUAUGUUUUCCUUUGUGGUGGAACUGCAUUUUUCUGGAAAUUGACCAAGCAAACUCUUGUGUCGACUUCCACGGACCACUUGGAAAUCAUGGCACUAUUCGAAGUAUCAAAGGAAUGUCUAUCGCUUCGACGGGUGAUUUACCACAUUCAGCAUGCGUGUGGGUUGAACACUGUACAAACCCCUACCAUUGUCUAUGAAGAUAAUGUUGCUUGUGUUGCGCAAGUUCAGAUAGGUUAUGUGAAGAGUAACCUCACAAAGCAUAUUAGUCUCAAGUUCUUCUAUGCACAUGAACUGCGGCAGUUGAACAAGGUGAGAAUUUUACAUACUAAGUCAUGUGACAAUCUUGCUGAUAUGUUCACUAAAUCAUUACCGGCAUCAUCCCUCAAGAGGUGUGUGCGUGGAAUCGGUAUGACGAGACUUAGAGAGAUCUAAGAUUCAGGGGGAGAAACUUCACAAUCUCGUCGUUAAAAUCUUGAUUUCGAUGAUUGAGUACUCAACUUGAUGGUUGAGUGAAUUGUAUUCUUUUUUCCUCGAUGUUUCUCAUAUGAUGUUUUUGAUGAGGCAAUUCGUGCAAUACAACAACGUAUACUAUGUUCUCUUUUUUCAUAUUUUUUCCACUGUGUUUUUUUAAAUUUCGAGAUACGGAUAUACGGAUAGUUACCCAAAGAAGAGUGUUGAGAAACGAGGUUCACCCUCGUGGGUGGCGGCAGACGCGUGCGAUCUGCGCAACGUAGCCUCUUCUAGUUCCACACCUUGCGUUAAAAAAAAUUUAGCAGAGUACAAUCGAAGUCGCUCACAUACACGAGCAUACACUCACCCCUAUGAACGCACACACGCACACCCUACCCCUACGAGCACCUUCGAGAGACUAAGCCGGCACAUCAUCUUGAGAUUGACGAAGUCGCCACUGACGCCUUCGUUGUCGACGGGAACGUCUCCUCUCAUUGAAAGCACUUCGCCGGAAUACCUGGAAUAAAUCCAGGAAAAUGCAAGCACCAACGUCAAGUUUGGGACUUGAACUCUGGUGGGUAGGGGAUACCACAGUCCUCCUAACCAUCCAACCACGGGUUGGUUUGCACCUUGCGUUAAUUUGAUAUCUCUCCCUAAUAAUAAAUUUAAUUCGGUUUCUGGUCGUCUGAUGGGGUUAUACCCCCCUGGAGGGAAAGGGUCGUACGUUUCCAGGUGCAUUUAUUAGCAUUUAGGGCAUACGUUACUUGUAACGUACACAUUCAAUCGCCACUACUCCACCCCUAUACCGGAACCGUUGUGGAGGGCAGCGCACUCUAUAUAAGCCACCCUCCCCCACUGGUAAAGGGGUUAGCAAUUCAUUGUAUUCCCUAUUCCACUCAACAACAAAGCUCCCUGAGCACUGAGACGUAGGGCUAUUAUCUCCACCGCAGAGGGGCCCGAACUCAUACAUCCUCGCCGUAGCUGGGACUCUGCCCAUCCUUUUCGUACCCUACACAUCUACCGUCAGGCUUAUACUCACGACAGUUGGUAACCACCGUGGGGCAGGAGUCUAAGCGACUUCCGGCGAGUUUGUGACUACUUCCUUUCAUCAUGUCGUCCGGUGGAGGUUCGAGCAUAGGUCACCAGAUCUUCUUCGGCGCUCUCUCCUUCAUCGUCGACGAUUCGGCGUGGCUUCGGGAUGCUCCUCUCAACGUCGAGGCGCUUCCCCAUUGCGGGGCUACACACUUCCGUGCCGGCGCUUGCGGCAUUCUUCUUCUCCAACAGUCGACUCCGGUGUCGACCUGCACCGCCGUCACGCGCCGCAGCAAGUGGUCCCGCCGUCCGCGGCUCCAGCGUUGGGUGCAGCAUGCCCAGGCGCGCCAGAACGCGUCUUCGCAAGUGGCGGUUCUUGAGUCCGUUGUGGUUGCCCCGCUGUCCCAGCACUCGGACUCGGUUCCGACUGAGUUUCCUUCCGAGUAUGCGGGUCGCGGGCCCGCAGCAGAAGUACACAUGGCCAACUCCCAUGAAGAUCCCCGUCAAGCUGGCCGAAGCGAGCGCGAGGUCGGUGAAGCAUCCGGUGCGCGCCGUCCACCUCGCCGUUCUGCCAGUCGGCACACUCGGCGGAGCAACUUGGAGUUGUUUCGCACACCCCUCCUCAACUUGGCCGCGGCUGCCAAGAUAGCCGAUUCCCUCUAGCCGACUGAUUCAGAGGCAGGAAGGGGGAUCGAGCAGAUCCGAGCCGUGUUGCACACGGCACAGCAGCAGAAUUCGGCGGUCUCCCAGUCACACAACCGGAUCUAUAAUAGUUCCGUUCAUGCGAAUAUGCAUCGGUCGGUUCACAGCCCUGGUUCCCAUCAGCGCCACAGGGGAGGCAGCCAUUCCGUGAUUCAUGAAGAUCGCCGCCGCUCACGCACCCCUCCACGGGGUGGGCCCUAUGGGUCCCGACAUCAUGAUGAUCGGCGUUCAGUCGGCGACACUUACGACCCAAGACCCGACGCAAGAGGGCGUAUCGCCCAGCGAAGAGUCAACAGGGGUCGAGCCCACCGUGAUGGUCAUGAUAUGGACCGUCCGAGUGGAAGCAGGACCAUCGUGUCCGGUCCCGAGUGUUUUAGUCGAGCCAUCCGCUCGGCUGACAUCCCGCCCAACUUCCGAUUGGCAGCGGGAAUCAGUAAGUUUACAGGAGAGUCCAAGCCAGAAACAUGGCUAGACGACUACCGAGUGGCAGUCUAGAUCGGAGGAGGGGACGACCACGUCACCAUGAAGCACCUCCCUCUGAUGCUCGACGGCUUGGCGCGAGCGUGGCUGAAUCAAUUAGCCCCCUCGAGCAUCUACAGUUGGGCGGAUCUGGCCCGAGUGUUCAUUCGGACCUUCGAAGGGACGUGCAAACGCCCUGCGGGCCUCGUGGACCUCCAGCACUGCGUCCAGAAGACGAAUGAGCCCCUGCGCGACAUCAUCCAGCGUUGGACGACUCUCUACCACAUGGUGGCGAACGUCACCGAGCAUCAAGCAGUCUGCGCAUUCAAGGCAGGCGUGCGGUACAGGGAGUUGUACCUGAAGUUUGGCCGAACAGGCGACAUCUCCAUGAGCAAGAUGAUGGAGAUAGCAGCUCGCUACGCAAAUGGCGAAGAAGAGGACCGCAUCCGAAGCGGCAAGCACAAGACAGUCGGCGACGGAGAAGGAAGCAACACUCGGAAGCAAAAGCAAAAAGCUCCAUCCACUCCGCAGGCAGAAGCUGCAGUCGUGACCAAUGCCAAAUUCAAAGGCAAAGGGAAGGCGCAGUAUACCCCCAAGAAGAAGCCGUUCAAUAAUCCCAUCCUGGACCAACCAUGCCCGGUUCAUACGAAGAUGGACGAAGAAGGCAACCCCAUAUAUCCCAAGCAUACCACUCGGCAGUGCCGACUCCUGAUCCAGGGAUUCGGCGAAGGGAAACCGAGUGAGAAGGUCAGUGAACAAGAUGAGGAGGAUAAAGAGGAUCCGUUCCCCCAAGUCCAUGCGACACUCAUGAUUUUUGCUGACGUCGAAAGCAAGAGUCGACUGAAGCUGGUGAACAGGGAGGUCAACAUGGCCGUUCCGACCAGCCCCAAGUUCCUUAAAUGGUCUCAGACUGCGAUCACCUUUGACCAGUCGGAUCAUCCAGCGCAUGUUCCCACCCCAGGAAGACAGGCUCUGGUCGUCGACCCGGUGGUGGAAGGAGUCCGACUGCGCAAAGUCCUCAUGGACGGCGGCAGCGGUUUGAACAUCAUGUACGCCAACACUCUCAAGGGAAUGGGCAUUCCGUUGUCCAAACUCAGCGAGAGCAGUAUGCAGUUCCACGGAGUCGUCCCUGGACGGAAGGCUAAGUCACUCGGCCAGAUCGCGUUGGACGUCGUUCUCGGCUCCGACAAGAACUUUUGCAAGGAAAAGCUCACAUUUGAGGUGGUGGAUUUCCAGAGCGCUUACCACGCAAUCCUGGGCCGCCCAGCGUAUGUGAGCUUCAUGGCCCGUCCAUGCUAUGUAUACUUGAAGCUGAAGAUGCCAGGUCCAAAGGGCGUGAUCACCAUCACGCGCAAUCGGCAGCGAGCCGAAGAGUGCUUGCAGCAAGGAUCAAGAAUCGCCGACCAGCAGAUGGCCGUCCUCGAGCUCGACGAGUACAAGAAAACAGUCGACCCCACCGACCUGAUGCGCUCAAAGAAGCCAGCUUCAGAAUCCGCAUUCCAGUCGGCGGGAGAGACGAAGAAGGUCAGCAUCCACCCGACGAACCACACUCCUGCCCCGACGAACAUCUCCACCACCCUCGAUCCUAAAUAGGAAGCCGAGCUCACCCAAUUCCUCCGUGAGAACUGGGACAUCUUCGCAUGGAAACCUUCUGACAUGCCAGGUGUACCCAGGGAGUUGGCUGAGCACCGACUACAUGUAGACCCCGUCGCUCGGCCUGUCCGAGAGCGCUUGCGCCGGUCCGCCGCGCACAAGAGGAAAGCAAUCGGGGAAGAGGUGGCCAAGCUGCUGGCAGCCAACUUCAUUCGCGAGGUUCACCACUCCGAGUGGCUCGCCAAUGUUGUCAUGGUGCCCAAGAAGGACAAGUCACUCCGGAUGUGCAUCGACUUCAAGCACCUCAAUAAGGUCUGCCCGAAGGACCAUUUCCCACUCCCCCGCAUAGAUCAAAUUGUCGAUUCGACUGCGGGGUGCGAGCGUUUGUCAUUUCUUGAUGCCUACUCGGGCUAUCAUCAGAUCCGUCUGUAUGGUCCCGAUGAAUUAAAGACAACCUUUAUCACCCCAUUCGGGUGCUUCUGCUACAUCACUAUGCCAUUUGGUUUGAAGAAUGCAGGAGCUACCUUUAUGCGCAUGAUCCAAAAAUGCCUUCUCGACCAGAUCGGUCAGAAUGUGGAGGCAUAUAUGGAUGAUAUCGUAGUCAAGUCACGCAAAGGUUCCGACCUGCUGACUGACUUGGCAGAAACAUUCGCCAACCUUCGUAGGUACGAUAUCAAGCUCAACCCCGCCAAAUGUUCAUUCAGUGUUCCCAGCGGGAAGUUACUCAGUUUCUUCGUUUCCGAACGAGGGAUCGAUGUCAACCCCAAAAAGAUCAGGACCAUCGUUCAAAUGGAGAGGCUGGUCAGAAUACAUGAUGUUCAACGGCUCACAGGUUGCCUAGCGGCUUUGAGCAGGUUCAUCAGUCGACUCGGCGAGAAAGUAGUUCCUCUGUACCGACUCAUGAAGAAAGCAGAUACUUUCGAGUGGACAGACGGAGCCCAAGUCGCAUUCGACAAGCUCAAAGUCCUACUUUCCACCCAGCCGGUUCUUACUGCUCCGCUCAGUAAAGAGCCCCUUCUUCUGUACAUCGCGGCUACAAAUCAAGUCAUCAGUACUGUUCUUACAGUCGAACGAGAAGAAGAAGGCAAAGCAUACAAAGUUCAGCGGCUAGUGUACUACGUCUCCGAGGUCCUGACUCCUUCCAAGCAGAGGUAUCCCCACUAUCAAAAACUUAUCUACGGGAUUUACAUGACUGCGAAGAAGGUGGCUCAUUAUUUCCAAGACCACUCGGUAUCUGUCGUUUCCGAUGCUCCGUUGUCGGAAAUUCUCCACAAUCGAGAUGCGUCAGGCCGAGUGGCGAAGUGGGCGAUAGAGAUGUUGUACUGCGAUAUCAAGUUCGAGGCCAAGAAAGCUAUUAAGUCUCAAGCCCUGGCUGACUUCAUAGCAGAAUGGGUAGAACAACAGCAACCGACCCACAUCUACUCGGCCCAUUGGACAAUGUUCUUUGAUGGGUCCAAGAUGUUGAAUGGCUACGGCGCUGGCGUUGUGAUCAUAUCGCCAAAGGGCGACAAACUCAAGUAUGUGCUGCAGAUACACUUCGAUUCCUCCAACAACGAGGCAGAGUAUGAAGCUCUCCUUUACGGGUUGCGUAUGCCCAUCUCACUCGGCGUCCGUCACCUGAUGGUCUACGGCGAUUCGGAUUUGGUGGUCAAUCAAGUGAUGAAAGAGUGGGACGUCAGGAACCCCACCAUGAACACAUACUGCAAUGCAGUAAGAAAGCUCGAGAAGAAGUUUGAAGGUCUAGAACUUCACCAUGUGCCGAGACUAAAGAAUCAAGCAGCUGAUGAGUUGGCAAAACUCGGAUCCACUCGGAGACCAGUCCCGAGUGACGUCUGCCUCGAGCACCUUCACCUCCCUUCAGUCAAAGAAGAUCCUUUUACAGAAGAGCCAGUACAACCAAAGAGUUCAACAGAUCCGACUGAAGUCGAUGUACCUGCUGUGGUUGAUCUGGUUAUGGGGAUUCUUGCUGCCAUCCCCGAGUGGACUGUGCCGAUCAUUGCAUAUAUCCUGAGACAGGAACUACCAGAAGACGAAGCCCAGGCCAGGCAGAUAGUCCGCAGGUCGAAGGCAUUCACUGUCAUUGAUGGCCAAUUGUACAAGGAGAGUGUUUCGAGCGUUCUCCAACGUUGCAUCUCCCCAGAGGAGGGGCAGUUGAUCCUGUAAGAAAUUCACUCGGGAACCUGCGGUCAUCACGCCUCUUCAAGAGCAAUCGUCGCCAAGGCAUUCAGGGCUGGUUUUUUCUGGCUGCAGGCGAAUGAGAUGGCUAAAGAUAUGGUCGACCGAUGCGAGGGCUGUCAGUUCUACUCCAACAAGUCCCACAAGCCAACCUCUGCGUUGAAGAAAAUCCCGCUUGUCUGGCCAUUUGCAGUUUGGGGAUUAGAUACAGUUGGACCAUUCAAGACAGGCCAAGAAGGCUACACUCAUCUGUUGGUGGCAGUCGACAAGUUUACAAAAUGGAUAGAAGCCAAGCCCAUCAAGAAACUCGACGCCUCAACAGCCGUCAAGUUUGUGAGGGACAUCAUCUCCAGAUUCGGUGUACCUCACAGCAUAAUCACGGAUAACGGGACAAACUUUGACUCGGACAGAUUCAAAGGUUUUUGUGCAAGCCAAGGUAUCCGAGUGGAUUUUACUUCCGUAGCACACCCUCAAUCCAAUGGAAAAGCAGAGCGGGCGAAUGGACUUAUUCUUCAGGGUUUGAAGCCCCGACUCCUGCGAGAGGUGGGCCAUGCCGCAGGCGCAUGGGUCACCGAGUUACCUUCAGUACUUUGGGGUCUUCGCACAACCCCGAACAGAUCUACACGGUCAUCGCCGUUCUUCCUCGUUUAUGGAGCAGAAGCGGUCCUUCCAAGUGACUUGCUUCAUAAUGCUCCAUGAGUCGAGCUCUUCUCCGAAGUUGAAGCAGAACAAGCAAGGCAAGAUGGAGUGGACCUUCUAGAGGAGGAGCGCGAGAUGGCACUGACUCGCUCAACCAUUUAUCAACAAGAUCUGCGGCGGUUUCAUGCACGCCACGUCAGGAGUUGCACGUUCCAAGCAGGCGACCUGGUGCUCCGAGUGGAUCAGCAAAGACCUCACAAGUUAGCCCCGGCCUGGGAAGGACCCUUCAUCAUCUCCAAGGUGCUGAACAAUGGAGCAUACAGACUCUACAACAUCUAGAGGGAGACAGACGAGCCGCGUGCAUGGAAUGGAGACCUCUUGAAGCGCUUCUACACGUGAUCGUCGACUGAAGCAGUGUAAAGAACUAGUAUUGAUGAAAUAAUAUAAAGCGGAUUCAGUUUUUGCAGACUCAGAAUUCUUCCGCAGUUGCAGACUCCAGUCACACACAAAAAACUUAGUUGCGAUUCAGAAUCGCCUAAGUUAUAACUUUCUCCGAGUGUGCACUAAGCGUCGCACUCGGAGACUUAGCUGUCAUCAAGAAUCACCUAAGUACUAACUUCUCCGAGUGUGCGCUAAACGUCGCACUCGGGGACUUAGCUGUGAUCAAGAAUCACCUAAGUUCUAACUUUCUCCGAGUGUGCACUAAGCGUCGCACUCGGGGACUUAGCUGUGAUCAGGAAUCACCUAAGUAAUAACCUUCUCCGAGUGUGCACUAAACGUCGCACUCGGGGACUUAGCUGUGAUCACGAAUCACCUAAGUAAUAACUUUCUCCGAGUGUACACUAAGCGUCGCACUCGGGGACUUAGCUGUGAUCAGGAAUCACCUAAGUAAUACCCUUCUCCGAGUGUGCACUAAACGUCGCACUCGGGGACUUAACUGUGAUCAUGAAUCAACUAAGUAAUAACUUUCUCCGAGUGUGCACUAAGCGUCGCACUCGGGGACUUAGCUGUGAUCAAGAAUCACCUAAGUAAUAACCUCCUCCGAGUGUACACUAAGCGUCGCACUCGGGGACUUAGCUAUGAUCAAGAAUCACCUAAGUAAUAACUUCCUCCGAGUGUGCACUAAGCGUCGCACUCAGAGACUUAGCUGUGAUCACGAAUCACCUAAGUAAUAACUUUCUCCGAGUGUGCACUAAGCGUCGCACUCGGGGACUUAGCUGUGAUCAAGAAUCACCUAAGUAAUAACUUCCUCCGAGUGUGCACUAAGCGUCGCACUCGGAGACUUAGCUGUGAUCAAGAAUCACCUAAGUAAUAACUUUCUCCGAGUGCGCACUAAGCGCCGCACUCGGGGACUUAGCCAUGAUCAAGAAUCACCUAAGUAAUAACCUCCUCCGAUUGUACACUAAGCGUCGCACUCGGGGAUUUAGCUGUGAUCAAGAAUCACUUAAGUAAUAACUUCCUCCGAGUGUGCACUAAACGUCGCACUCGGGGACUUUGGUGUGAUCAAGACUCACCUAAGUAAUCACUUUCUCCGAGUGUGCACUAAACGUCGCACACGAAACAACAUUCAAACACAAGAGUAAACGCUUUGAUUCGGAUUCCAAAAUUCUCACAAAGAUAGCUAACUUGGUGCGGAUCAAGCUUACCGGCACCGAUUUAAGAAUGUGACGGCCAACGGCAGUGGCCAAAGUACCUUACAGAUAAACACUCAGCAUACCAAGGAUAAAGUUUUCUUACGCGUCAGCUGGGUCGGCGCCAGGACUGGAGGGCUCCACGAAGGUGUCCAAGUCGAUUCCGUCGGCGAUGCGAGUAGCACUCUCAAGGAACGUCUCCAGAAGUCUUCGAAUCGAACCUUCUUCGUGUUGGCGACCUUCAAUGUCUUCAGUUUCUUCUCACGCACCUCCUUGCAAUGGACUCGGACCAAGGACAGAGCAACAUCUGCACCGCAACGCGCUGCAGAUUUCUUCCACGAUUGCACUCGGUUCGGAAUCUCCUCCAGUCGCGCCAUCAGGCUCUCCAUCUCCUGCCGCGACUCAUCUUCUGGCCAAAGCUCCUUGUCAAUUCGGCCGACAACCUCUCUCAGUCGACCGAUGAAAGGACCCACUUUGCCCACGCGGAUGUGCGCCCGGAGCAGAUCCCGAUUGGCGUCCUCGCCGAGUGGCACGUUGUCGCGAAUGGACCGCUCCACGUCCGCUGCUUCAGCUUCCGCAUCAAUGCAAAAAUCUGCAACAGAAGGGCAAGCAUACAAUAAACGCCGAGUGUCACGCACACAGUACAAGCACUCAGCAAAAAAAAUAGGACUUACCAGCCAGACGCGUCAUCAUCUGCCCAGCCCAGUCGCUGACAUACUUCUCCUGAGCUAUGCAUCGUUUAUUCAGGACGACCAUCUGAUUCGUGAGAGCAGUCCUCUGUUUCUUCAUCUUUUCAACUUCCUCAGUUAACACCUUGUUCGCUUCUCGAGCCUCCUCCAAGGACUUCUCUCGCCCCGCCAAAGCAUCCUUCAUGCCGGCCAUUGCGAGCAUGGCCGCAUCAAGCUCACCAGCGAACUGAUUCCUCUCCGCCCUGAGAGCCUCAUAGGCCGUCCCCAUUUCACAAGUUUUCUGCCAACAAGCACCAAGGGACAAUCAGAAAGCUCAACGAUUAAAAGUCUAAGUUCUUCAGACCCCUGCCGACGCAAGCAGUCGACAGCGGUCUCGGGGACUACACCCAGUGGGUUCACUGAGAGUGACCCCACUGGCAUGCAGCUCAAGCAGGCCUGUCCUAUUGAGAUGCAUGUUAUCACCUACGCCUACGAGGCCAAUACUACCCGACCUGAGUAUAACUUACUCUCGGGGACUCUUACAGUAAGUGCACUCCGAGUGCAACAACUGCUCGCACUCGGUCAUAUUAUUUACAAACACAACCAAAGUAAAGACAAUAUGUAUAAAGACAACUGUCGAUGCAAGCACUCGACAGAAGUCUCGGGGACUACACCCACUGGGUUCACUCAGAGUGAACCCACUAGAAACAACAGCUGCUAUUCAAGAACACCCAGUGGGUUACAAGAGAAAAGUAAAUACUUACUAGACCACUUACUCGGAUAUCAUCCCGUAGCUCUAAGCUCCGCUGGUACAAGGCCACAACAGAGUCGUAGGCCCUCUUGGCUUCUCCAGCCAUCAGCUCCGCCUGCAACAUAGCUCCCUUGGCCGCUCCCACCUGCUCCUCCGGAAGACGCUGGAUGCUGAAUUCAGCAUUCAACGAGCCUGGAAUCGUCGGAAGUUCCUGAGGCAUCCCAAGGUCCGCCCCAGUCGGCUCCUCUCCACCAGCACUGAUUCAGUCUGUGGCAACGCCUCAGUCGGCAGCACGUCGGCGUCGAGAGCAGCAGCAGGAGGAGCAGCCUCAAGAACAGGCUCCACAGCUGGGUCAGCUCUCCCCUGGUCGCCCUCGUCCAGGCAAAUCGCCCCUGACAGGCCGAAUGACACGAGGUCUCAGAAAAAGAAAGAAGCAGGACCUAUGAUAGAAUUCGAGACGCGAUAGUAUAAAACACUCGGCGUCCCUACAACGCACCUGGCUGGGACGAGACGACGUUCUCCUUGUCCAUGGGAUCAUCUUCCUGGCGCGCCGGAGAGGUGGCAGAAGUAGCGACUCUGUCGAGUGAAAUCCAUUCGGCCAGUAAACAGAAGUUCACUCGGAUAUCAGAAAGAAUUGAAAGCUGGAUACACUUACGUGGAGGUGACAGGGACAGCAACCCUCAUUCGCGGCAGAGCCUUCCGAGGCUUAGGCCCACUCGGUUUGGCUGCCUUAGAAGACUGACCCGCAGGCUCAGCGGCGGCAUCCCUGGUCCUCCUAGUGCUUCGAACACUCGGGACCACUGGAGCAGUGGGCGGAGCACUCGAAGACGCGGGAGGAGCCGAGGGGACGACGGGCUCGUGUCGGCGCUUGGUCCGAUGCUCUAGUUGCGGAGGCGGCGAGUCCUGCUCUUCGUCUUAUUCCUCCUCCUCGUUGGUCUCCUCCUCCGAUUCCCCGCUGUCGGAGACGUACUCGGCGCUCUCCACGCUGCCCUCCUGGCUGCCUUCCUCCUCUUCCUCAGCCGGAUUCCCAUUCGAGACGGGGGAGAACCAGUUGGUCCACGCGUGCGUAAAUUUCAGUCGGCAACAUCAGACAUCUCACAGAGAUACAAACAAACGACAGGAAUUAAGACAGUUCAGUGCACUCGACAAGUGUUACUCGCCUGAUUCGGUGGAGGAUGAUCCGCGUUGUAAGGCUUCACUCGCCGAGAUCCUUUGGGAUUCUCGCACGGCCCAUGAUUUGGAGCACCCACGAGGUCACCCUCUCUUCAGUCACGCCCACCACGUUGGUCCGAGUGGAGUCUUCGGGCCCCGUGUAAUGCCACAUGGCAUGGUCGCGAGCCUGCAAAGGCUGGAUACGCCGACCGAGGAAGACCUCCCGCAAGUCUAUGCCGGUGACCCUCCUCCUGACGACAUCCACGAGUGCCUCAACCAAAGGCUGGAUGUCAUUCUUCUCCUCCUUCGAGAGCGCGAGCUGCUUAGGUGGGGCGGGCCGAUCUAAACUAAAGGGAGGCAGCCCAGUCGACGCAUUCGGACAGGCGAUAUCCUCGCAGUAGAACCACGUCGACUGCCAGUUCCUGACCGACUCACUUAACUGAAGAGCAGGAUAACUACUCCGACUCUUUUUCUGGAAACCUAAGCCCCCGCGGAGCUGGAGGAUAUGCGUCUUAUCAUCCGACUGGCUAAGUCGUUUGAUGGUUUGGGAUCUGGCGGAAAAGAUGUGUUUGAACAAACCCCAAUGGGGAGGGCAGCCGAUGAAACACUCGCACAAAACUAUGAAGGCAGAGAGAUGGGCAAUGGCAUUCGGGGGAAAGUGAUGAAGUUGAGCCCCGAAGUGAUUCAUGAUGUCCUUGAAGAAACGAUGCGGGGGCAAGGAGAAACCUCGAUGGACGUGGCUGAGCAGCAAGACGCGCUCCCCCUCCCGAGGCGCCGGCUCGACCUCGUUCUCCGCCGGCAGCCUCCAGGACUUGUGCACGAUCAUCCCGUGCUCCACCAGCUGCAGCAGAUCCCCCUCCGUCACCGUGGAGGGGAGGAAGUCGCCCCAUCCCGCCGGCAGCGGCCGCCGCCACCGCUGAGCAGGCGCCGCCGUCUUCCCCUUCUUCUUCCUCGCCUCCAUCUUGCUGGUCUGACCCUUGGUCAUGGCGGCAGCUGCGAGCCCUGGGGAGGAAGGAGAAGGGAGGAGUAUAGAAGCGCUGGAGGUGGCGAGAAGGGCGGAGCAGGCGAGAGCAAGGGAUUCGGCGAGCGUAACGGAGAAGCCUCGCCACCGAGAUUUAAAUAGGGUUCCGACUGGGUCGCUGGCAGGUGGCCCCGAAACCUUAUCCUCCCGACCCACCGCGGUGAUAUUAGUGGAGAGGUUGAAGGCGCGAGAAUCGAGGCGUCAGGCGCUACUCGAGCGCGCUGGCGUCAUCCCCGCUGAGCGCGCGGAAACCGAAAUUUGAGGAUCCCGGAAAAUCCACCGCUGUCAGUUGACCGGUCGCGUCAGAAGAUGCCGCCGAAGCACUCGGCUCCCGACAGUCUGUUUCGCGAGUACUUCCACUCGGAUCGUCGAUCAGAAAAGUCAAAAUGGACCGAGGCAAGCAACGCCCAAGCCAAGUCUGUUCCAGUCGGAUCCAACUUCAAACAUCGCUUCAUCGUUCCAACCCCAAUCCAUUCGGGGACUAAUGAUGGGGUUAUAGUCCUAGGGUAGGGUCAUAGGCCUGCCCUGUAGGUCCUACCCAAGGACUACCCCUCGCAAAGGACUAGACCCUUAGUCAGCUCCGACUGAAUUAAGGAAUCCCUGUCGUCCAGUCGGUAACAUACCAUCGGUCCUCCAGUCGGCGACUAGCAUUCGGAGCAUAUCAGGCUAACCGACUGUAUACCACUCGAUACAUCGUAACCCCCCUGGAGGGAAACGGUCGUACGUUUCCACGUGCAUUUAUUAGCAUUUAGGGCGUACGUUACCUGUAACGUACACAUUCAAUCGCCAGUACUCCACCCCUGCACCAGAACCGUUGUGGAGGGCAGCGCACUCAAUAUAAGCCACCCUCCCCCACUGGUAAAGGGGUUAGCAAUCCAUUGUAUUCCCUAUUCCACUCGACAACAAAGCUCCCUGAGCACUGAGACGUAGGGCUAUCACCUCCACCGCAGAGGGGCCCGAACUCAUACAUCCUCGCCGUAGCUGGGACUCUGCCCAUCCUUUUCGUACCCUACACAUCUACUGUCAGGCUUAUACCCACGCCAUUGUCCGUCUUGAAAAUUACCCCUAAAGUUUACAUAAAUUACCCACCAUGACACCGGUAAGUAAUAGAAAACGUUUCACAAAGCGAAAAAUCUUGAACUGGGCCGGCCCAUGUAAAAACCUCCUAUAUUACGCUCUGCACGCUGGGAGCAUAUCCAGCACACCGUAUGGGCCGGCCCAUGCACAGGCGCCUGCUUUUAGUUUCGUUUAUUUAUUUAUUUUCAGUUCCGUUUUGUUUUUUUAUUUUAAAUAAUUUAGAACUUUAAAUGNNNNNNNNNNNNNNNNNNNNNNNNNNNNNNNNNNNNNNNNNNNNNNNNNNNNNNNNNNNNNNNNNNNNNNNNNNNNNNNNNNNNNNNNNNNNNNNNNNNNNNNNNNNNNNNNNNNNNNNNNNNNNNNNNNNNNNNNNNNNNNNNNNNNNNNNNNNNNNNNNNNNNNNNNNNNNNNNNNNNNNNNNNNNNNNNNNNNNNNNNNNNNNNNNNNNNNNNNNNNNNNNNNNNNNNNNNNNNNNNNNNNNNNNNNNNNNNNNNNNNNNNNNNNNNNNNNNNNNNNNNNNNNNNNNNNNNNNNNNNNNNNNNNNNNNNNNNNNNNNNNNNNNNNNNNNNNNNNNNNNNNNNNNNNNNNNNNNNNNNNNNNNNNNNNNNNNNNNNNNNNNNNNNNNNNNNNNNNNNNNNNNNNNNNNNNNNNNNNNNNNNNNNNNNNNNNNNNNNNNNNNNNNNNNNNNNNNNNNNNNNNNNNNNNNNNNNNNNNNNNNNNNNNNNNNNNNNNNNNNNNNNNNNNNNNNNNNNNNNNNNNNNNNNNNNNNNNNNNNNNNNNNNNNNNNNNNNNNNNNNNNNNNNNNNNNNNNNNNNNNNNNNNNNNNNNNNNNNNNNNNNNNNNNNNNNNNNNNNNNNNNNNNNNNNNNNNNNNNNNNNNNNNNNNNNNNNNNNNNNNNNNNNNNNNNNNNNNNNNNNNNNNNNNNNNNNNNNNNNNNNNNNNNNNNNNNNNNNNNNNNNNNNNNNNNNNNNNNNNNNNNNNNNNNNNNNNNNNNNNNNNNNNNNNNNNNNNNNNNNNUUGUAAAAUUAUUCACGGAAGAUCUAAUGUAUGUAGUUAAACAAUAAUGCUUCUAAGUCUUUGUGACAAUAUAUCUGUGUAAAUUUUGAAGAAUUAACUAUUGGAUGGAUCGGAUUAUUAUUGUAUGUUUUCUAAAAAAAUCUUGAAAUUCAAAAUAAAUCUUUGAGUUACCAAGAUUUUUGACAACCAUGAUAUAUUUUUUUUGAAAAUGUAAAAAUUGCUUCAACUUGUGAAUAAAUUUGAAAGAAGAAAUAUUUUCUUGCGUUUGUGCACAAAAUUUCUAAAUCAAGCGAUGAUAUGUGAACAUAAUAUGGUCNAGUGCUUCUGUCGUCCGUCAUUGAUAUUAUGCCCAAAGUUGACAUUAAUUACCCACUGUGCCAUCGAUAAGUAAGGAAAACGCUUUGAUUUUUUCCCCAAAAAGUCGCGGCGUAGUCCUUUAUUUUAUGGAGAUGUUACAAUAGCAUCACCAAUGGACUAGCGUUGUAGUGGCUGAGGCCUAGCACUCCUAGCCAGGCGACCAGGGUUCGAUCCCCACAUCUUGCACAUUGUUUUCGUUUUCUCACACAAGGCCUUUCCCUAUGUGUCUGUCUUCAUGAGCUGGGCCGGCCCAUCUGUUGAUCUACAUUCCGUUGUCUUCUUCUAAUUUUCUUUUUNNNNNNNNNNNNNNNNNNNNNNNNNNNNNNAACAUUCAAGAAAUUAUAAAAUGCAUGAGAGUUUGAUUUUUAAGGAAAUUAUAGAAGUUUCAUGGAUUCAAAAUAUAUUGGUGUAUUUGUAAACUGUUUGCAAAUUACAAAACAAAAUCACAAUUUGAAAAAUAAAUAGUCGGGAAAGAAAAUCAUGUUCUUGAUUUUGAAAAAAAAUGAUCAUUUGUUCAAAACAUAUUCGGGAAUCUGCAAAUAGUGUCCAUCAAUUUUUACAAAAUGUUCACAAAAAGUAAAAAAACACAAAUUUUAAAAUUUGUUCCCCCAUUUUAAAAAAGUUAAACGAUUCAAAACAUGUUUGUUGAGUCAAAAAAUGCUCAUGAAUUCAAAAAAAUCCAUGCAUUUAACAAAAUGUUCAUACACAAAACAAAAAGGAAAAAAAUGUUCGUACAAAAAAUACAUUUCAGAAUAUGUGCACAAAAAUUCUCUAGAGCAAGUAGGACAAUGCUUUAUCAAUGUGAACAAAUUGUACUACCCUCCCGAGUGGUUUCCUGAUAAAUCUCAGUUUGUUCGUAAUGAACCUAUGCUUUUUUUUGUAGUAACAUGUUUUGAAGAUCUAUAGAUGGAAAUGUGUAUAUCAUUAGGUGAUUUGUUAACAAUUUAGAUUUUUGUUGCAAAUAAUUAUGCUUCAUCUUCUUUUCAUUUGCUGUACUCCAAAUUUGAAGGUUGAUAUUAUAUAAAUUGUACCAAAUUAAUAAAUAUUGGUUGUGAGAAAAAAAUUAGUAUGUAACAAUCACGAACAUUAGGAAGCAAUUCAAGGAAGGCGGCCCUCACAGUCUAGCUCAGCAAGAUUAGUUAUUAAAGUUAUAAAUGUUCUCUUAUGCCGGUGUGGUUAAAUGUCAUUGUGGUGGAUGAGUUUAUCGCCUCAAGAUUGACCAUGUUCACACAUGUGCGACAAGGUGAACGACCUAAUGGUAGAAAGAAGGAUAACUAUGAGACGGAUGGGUUACUGUAUGUAAGUGGAUGAGGCAGAUUGUGUGUGCGGUGAUGGAUUUUGAUGUUAUUAUUUUUCGCACGGUGCAACGGGCAUUUGUACUAGUAUAUAUNGCUGCCCGACGCCGACGCGCCAUCGCUCGCCGGACACACGCACAUGCCUGCACGCGCGGCGGGGUGGGGGGACGGGGACCCAUGCGCCCGGCUCGACCGGCGCACGGCCCGCCGGAGUGGAUUGGAGCCGGGCAACCACAAACCCAAUCGGGGAUCCAAGGGGCUUCAGUUUCUGUUCGCCGUCGGCCCUGGAGAGCGGACGAGCGUGCCCAUUCCGUGGCUGUGCGAUGCCACUGUCGCGGCCUUUUCCGUACUGCAUACAGAGUGUUAAUUGGAGUUUUGGAUUCAUCCACCGCCUGGCGUGCACCAACUAUGCCAUGCCAGCGGCUCAAGAUUUCUGAAAGAGGGUAUACAGAUACAGAGCUAGUAUUCUAUACAGAUAUAUGCCACGCUCUUUUCCAUGUUUUUUCCGCCAAAUUGCAAGUACUAUUAUAGAACAACGACAAUGGUCUCCGAUCGGACAAAUUCUCGUGCUCGGCGCAGACAUGCCAUGCCAUGCCAUCGCUCGCGUGCCGACGGUGACGGUGGCGAAUCUCCAUCUGAACCCGGCCGUUGGCUCGUGGCCGGGCCGACGCAUGCUCCCGCUGUAAAAGUGAAAGCAGCGAUGAACUUCUAGUAGCUCCAUGUUACUUCUCGUUUAGCCGCCGCGUCAAAGAGAGGUUUAUUCAGGUCACCGCCUGAAGCUCAACUCCGUCCACCUUUUUACUCUACUCGACUUUCCCCCACAUGAGCUCACACACAUUUUGAGGACGUACACAUGCAUUGGCAGCAAGAACACAAAACAACAACAAGAAGAACCCAGCUACUAGCUACAUCCAUGAAUGAAUAAUGAAGCAAUCCAUGGCCAGCCGAUUGAGAUGAAGGAUUGUUUCGGAUCCCUUUUCUUUGUCCGAGGAAUCGAACAACAGAUGCAUCCAUCCCCUACUAAACCUAGAAUGAACGAAUUGCGCAAAUCGCAGCAGCAAUGGCCGAUCCAACAACCACCACGAUUUAGCUUGUGCUUGACGAGGACUCGAGGUUCAUGAAAGAACCCAUUUUCCGAUCAUUGGCCGGCAAGUUCUGGAAGUGCCAGUGCGGAUGGCCGUCAUUUUGAGCCGACGCCNNNNNNNNNNNNNNNNNNNN
Molecule: long non-coding RNA, 37355 nt
Filed under: Hordeum vulgare
Lineage: Eukaryota; Viridiplantae; Streptophyta; Magnoliopsida; Poales; Poaceae
Description: long non-coding RNA (HVUL_LNC003442)
Source: RNAcentral